UACGUAGGGGGCAAGCGUUGUCCGGAAUCAUUGGGCGUAAAGAGCGUGUAGGCGGCCCGGUAAGUCCGCCGUGAAAGUCCAGGGCUCAACCCUGGAAUGCCGGUGGAAACUGCCGGGCUGGAGUCCGGAAGAGGCGAGUGGAAUUCCUGGUGUAGCGGUGAAAUGCGCAGAUAUCAGGAGGAACACCAAUGGCGAAGGCAGCUCGCUGGGACGGUACUGACGCUGAAGCGCGAAAGCCAGGGGAGCGAACGGG
RNAcentral lists this ribosomal RNA (253 nucleotides) under uncultured bacterium. Its description in RNAcentral is "partial 16S ribosomal RNA". It matches the Rfam family "Bacterial small subunit ribosomal RNA", at positions 524 to 776 of the family's 1533-position model. The record is from RNAcentral.